This 3694-nucleotide long non-coding RNA is filed under the name Sus scrofa (pig). Its description in RNAcentral is "lncRNA (ENSSSCG00025059259.1)". Lineage: Eukaryota; Metazoa; Chordata; Mammalia; Artiodactyla; Suidae. The record is from RNAcentral.
AAAAAAAGGAACCCUGGCCAAUUUUCAGCACUUAUCUCUGCCUUGCAGCCCCACUGCCUGGCUGUCUCAGGGUCAUAUAAGGAUUCGAAGCUUAGGGAACAAGUGGUCUCAAAGCUGCUACCUCUCUGGACAUUCCUAUCAUCAUUUAUUGGUUAUCAUUCAGUUUGGUGGAGCCUAACGUUUGGAUUUUCACCAGUUCAUGGAGGUGCAGGAAGAGCUACUCUUCCAUGAGUUCUCAAAGCAUCCUGCAAAAUUUAAUGCAUUAGCAGACAGCAAAGUUUUUUUGGUAAAAAUCCCUAAGUAAGAAGGAUGCAAACAAUUUUAUAUCACUAUGGAAGAUGGCAGGAGUAGAAGAAAUAGGCUUAACCUGAUGCUUAUCACUGUUAGAAAUUAGAAUGAACUUCUUAAUAGCACAUUACAUAGACUUUUAAAGAAGAAUGGAAUACAUCUGUUUGGGGUAAUUUAUACGAAGUUGUGCCCGAAGGCAAGAGGAAAGACAAGAUCACUUCCCAGUAACCGGCUGAGUUCAUUAGCAACGCCGUCAGAGCAGGCACUGACUCAGAACUGAAACAGGAGAGAAUAUUAUGAAAUCUCAAGUUAGGGAAAAGCUGAUAUCUAUCAGAUAAUAACUCCCAGACUGGCUUCCAGGGAACCACCCUGGCUCCUCUCCUAACUUUCUGGUCUGUAAAAGAGAUACCCAGGAAUCUCUCAGAUGAAAGAAAAAGGCCUCUGUGAAUAACAGCAUCCCCAGUUAAGAGUCAACUGCAGGCCUCCUUGCCGUGCAGAACCCACAAGCCCCACAGAGCCUUCUUGGAAAACCCCUAAUGGAGGUUCCUUAAAAAUAUCGGUGUUCCCGAGUUCCCACCGUGGCUCAGGGGAAACGAAUCUGACUAGCAUCCAUGAGAACACAGGUUGAAUCCCUGGCCUUGCUCAGUGGAUUAAGGAUCUGGCGUUGCUGUGAGCUGUGGUGAAGGUCACAGAUGUGGCUCGGAUCUGGCUUUGCUAUGGCUGUGGCAUACGCCAGCGGGUACAGCUCUGAUUCGACCCCUAGCCUGGGAACCUCCAUUUGCCACGAGGAGAGGCCAUUAAAAAAAAACAAUAACUAAAUAUAGCACUACUAUAUGUUCUAGCAAUCCCACUCCUGGGCAUAUAUCUGGAGAAAACCAAAAUUCAGAGAUAAUGCACCCCAAUGUUCAUUGCAGCACUAUGUACAACAGCCAAAACAUGGAAACAACCUAAACGUCCACUGACAGAAAAAUGGAUAAAGACGUAGUACAUAUACAUACAAUGGAAUAUUACUCAGCCGUAAAAAAAGAACAAAAUAAUGCUAUUUGCAGCAAGAUGGAAGGAUCUAGGGAUUAUCAUGCUGAGUGGUCAGAAAGAGAAAGAUAAAUAUCAUAAGAUAUCACUUACAUGUGGAAUCUAAUAAAAAUGAUACAGAAGAACAUAUUUAUAAAAUAGAAACAAACUCAUAGAUUUCAAAACCAAUCUUAUGGUUACUACAGGUGAAACAGCUGGGGCAAGAGAGAAAUUGGGAGGGUGGAAAUAACAUAUACACACUACUGUAUAAAAUAGAUGAUUAAUGAGAACCUAUUGGAUAGCACAGGAAAAUCUACUCAGUAGUUUGUAAUAACAUAUAUGGGAAAAAAGAAUGGAUAUAUUUAUAUACAUAACUGAUUGACUUUGCUGGAUACCUGAAACUAAUACAAUGUUGUAAGUCAACUAUACUCCAACAAAACAAAAAAAGAAAGAAAAUAGUUUGACAGUAUAAUAAUAAUAAUAAAAAAAUCAACUAAAAACAAAACAAAAAUCCACAAAACAAAACAAAGAUACUUGUGUCUCCUAAGAGGAGCUAUCCAGGUCAAGCUCUGGACCAGCCUCUGCAACCUGUUUUUCUUCAUUUCAUCCUCAGAGUAACUAAAUGAGUGAAGAAUUAUUGCUAUUUUACAGAUUAGGAAACUGAGACCCUGAGAAUUUGAAAUGACUAAUUCUUUAUUAGAAAGUUCAACCACAGUCGUGACUCAGCAGAAACGAAUCUCACUUGCAUCCAUGAGGACAAAGGUUCGAUCCCUGGUCUCGCUUGGUGGGUUAAGGAUCCGGCAUUGCUGUGGCUGUGGUGUAGGCCUGGGGCUACCACUCUGAUUCCACCCGGAGCCUGGGAACCUCCAAAUGCCCCAGGUAAGGCCCUAAAAAGACAGUUUGUAAAUAACCUCUGUUUUAUUAAAAAUAAAGGAAAGGAUGCCCUUACUCUUUCAUUCUUGAGUGGAAAAACUGCGAGGGUGACUUUUUUUUUUUCCUCCAUAAUCUUCACUCCAUUUAAUCUGGUUUGUUUCAACUGGUAGGAAGAGAAAAUGAGGUAGCUAACAGUAAGACUACAGAACACCUACUUUUCACACGCUUAUUAAUGCAUAAGCAACAUCCAUCACAACUAGAGAAAGAUCUCAGGCCUCCCACAUUUCUUCCUCUAAACAAGCAGGAGAAUCGCUGCUGACACUUAGGCUUAAAUCUGGGGACACCAAACACCCCUGCCUGAGGGAGACAUAUCUGAAUGCCCUGGCUGCACACCUGGAAUUGCCAGGGGAGCUUUAGAAACUACUCAUGCCCGAUCCCAUCUGAGGUGAUGAUAAAAGAGCAGCCGAGGCUGAGAACCACAGUCCGAAAGCAACAGAACCAAGAGUUAAACACAAGACAAAAUAAGUGUAUUGAGAAAGAUGAAAAAAGAGAACUGUGUCUCACAGUAAGUUAUGUGGCAAAUGAUUUUAAAAGUGAUCUACACAUUUGCAUUCUAUCCAACUGCCCCAAGAGCAAGCACUCUGGCUGAACCAACCCUGAGUUCCAUCACGGUAACACACAGCUCACUCGGUCUUUCUGAAUCUCUUCUUCCUUGUCUAAAAAAUUAAGUCAAUAAUACCUACCAUGCAGAGUUGUCUUCAAUAUCAAAUGAGAUAACAAGGCACACAAGACACUUAGCAUGCAGCCCUUAAUAAAGGUUUCAGCUUUCUGAAGUUUCUCUCCAUUUGGCUAUUCUAGGCUCCAAACCAUUCAUUUAUUACGUCUGAGUCACCAUUCAUUGCAAAACCUAGGCGUUUCUGUCCUCUAGCACUUUCCCUUAAAAUGAUCUUGAUUCAUAAGACUAUGUGCAGAGUAUUUAUAUUCAUAAUCCAAUUCUCACAUAGUUAAGAGUUCACCUGAAACCACCCUUCUCAAAGAGGAUGGUUCUGUUAAAUAUGGACACCUAAAUAAGAUUUUUGAAUAACUGAGUAAAUGCAUGAGGUUCGCAUAGACACUGAAAUAACUAUUAGUUCCUUUUCUUCAAUAAAUCAAUAAUAAAUACGGGCACCUAUUUGUGAGCACCUAUUAUGUGCCUGGCAUUGUACCAAGCAUUCUAUACACACAGCCUAACUGAACCUCAUUUAAUUCUUAUAAAGCCUCCUCGGGAAAGGAAUUAUUUCGCUCAUUUUAUAGAUGAUGAAAUUGGAUCUCACGGAGGUGAAAUAACUUACACACACACACACACACACACACACACACACACACAGCAAACAGGAACUUUCUAGAGCUUGAACCCAGAUCUCUCAAAAAUUCCAAAGUCAGUCCAUAAUUGUGUCUUGCAGGGUAUAAAACAUUUCCAAUAUAAAGUGUAUAUGUAUGUAUACUUAAUAUACAAAGUAUUCAUAAAGAGCUUUGUGCAUAU